Monodelphis domestica (gray short-tailed opossum) is the source of this 1297-nucleotide long non-coding RNA. RefSeq lists it as uncharacterized. NCBI's taxonomy places the organism in Eukaryota, Metazoa, Chordata, Mammalia, Didelphimorphia, Didelphidae. The record is from RefSeq and is a predicted model, not a curated record.
AAAUUUUUUUUUUUUAUUCUUGCUUUCUCAAAUUUUGUAUACAUAGAUUUUUUGAUUUUGAUACUGAUUUUGAAUUCUUUAAUGUAAAUAUGCAUAUAUAAAGGGUUAUAUUUUUUUCCCUUAAUUUUUUCCCUUUUUCUUCUUUUGAUUUUGAUUUUAUUUUGAUAUUGUUUUGUUUUUCUUUUGAAUUAACUCACACACCCCCACAACUAAAACUUGAAUCCUCAGCUGGACUCAGUGUUUUUUCAACACGUUCUUCAGGGGGGAUUGUAUUUCAUCAAAUCCAAGAUUUAAAUUUUGUUCGAGAGAGAAAUCUUCAGAGAAGCUUGCUAACUAACUGAAUCCAGAGAAUGAACUGUUUGCAGAAAGAUAUCUAAACCUUUUCACUACAGGAAGAUCCAGAAUGAACCUUGGGGUGUGGUUGAUUGAACAUUUUUUUGAAUGUACACUCUUAUGCCAAAGGGGACUGCCCCCUAAUUGGCUUUUGUCAAUGCGCCCAGCAAAACAUUGGUUUGCUGUCUUUCUCUCUCCUCUAUUUCCCCAUAUUUACAACUAUUAUAAUUUUCCUCUUAGUGGGUAGAAAAAAUUUUUGUAUACACUUAUAGUUAGAAAUUUUUGGGGUGCAGUAUGCUUAUGUUUAGUGAUCAAUUGGGGAGACUAGUCUCCCAAUCAUCAUCAGGGGGGAUUGUGAAUUUUAAAAGUCUCCAUCUUGGUCUAGCACCCAAAAAUUGUGCACACCCACACUACACGGGCAUGUGCUAGUCAAUGACUAAUCAGAAAUAACUAACUGCCCACCUGGGCUGUCCUAAGCCAAGCUAGAGCCAACCAUUGGAUUUGUGAGACACAGGAAGAGAGGUAGGGAACAGCCUCUGAGAUUGGCGGAACUUCCUGUGGAGAGAGCUAGGGGGAGUGGGUGUUAGGAGCUUGGAGAGAGAGGACGCCCGCAGACAGCUUUCCUUCAGAUCGGUCACGGAGUUAUAACAUAUGAUGGAAAAUCAAGGCACCUGCGUAGCAGAACUUCUGGACAAGUUACUCAAGUCCCCAGCUGAGAACAGACCAUGUUUGGCUAAAGAGGAUGGUGAGCCAUGCAGGAGAGAAUGAGGACCAGCUCUGGCAUAUGCAUGGCUUGGUCCAUAUUGUGCAGUUCCUGGCAUGUAAACUACCUCUACUGACUUAGAUAAUAUUGGAGACUUGCUGGGGAGAUGGAGAGGUGAAGUAGCAAGACAGGAACUAAGAGCUUCUAGAUUUCAAGGUGUGACCUCUAUGCAGCAUGUCAUGCUGUCUGCUACCUAGAUCU